CUAUACAUGCAAGUCGAGCGAACUGAUUAGAAGCUUGCUUCUAUGACGUUAGCGGCGGACGGGUGAGUAACACGUGGGCAACCUGCCUGUAAGACUGGGAUAACUUCGGGAAACCGAAGCUAAUACCGGAUAGGAUCUUCUCCUUCAUGGGAGAUGAUUGAAAGAUGGUUUCGGCUAUCACUUACAGAUGGGCCCGCGGUGCAUUAGCUAGUUGGUGAGGUAACGGCUCACCAAGGCAACGAUGCAUAGCCGACCUGAGAGGGUGAUCGGCCACACUGGGACUGAGACACGGCCCAGACUCCUACGGGAGGCAGCAGUAGGGAAUCUUCCGCAAUGGACGAAAGUCUGACGGAGCAACGCCGCGUGAGUGAUGAAGGCUUUCGGGUCGUAAAACUCUGUUGUUAGGGAAGAACAAGUACGAGAGUAACUGCUCGUACCUUGACGGUACCUAACCAGAAAGCCACGGCUAACUACGUGCCAGCAGCGGCGGGUAAUAA
RNAcentral lists this ribosomal RNA (497 nucleotides) under Priestia aryabhattai. RNAcentral's name for it is "bacterial SSU rRNA". It matches the Rfam family "Bacterial small subunit ribosomal RNA", at positions 49 to 526 of the family's 1533-position model. Lineage: Bacteria; Bacillati; Bacillota; Bacilli; Caryophanales; Bacillaceae. The record is from RNAcentral.